UUCCUACGGGAGGCAGCAGUGGGGAAUUGUUCACAAUGGGCGAACUGACGCAACGCCGCGUGGAGGAUGAAGGCCCUCUGGGGUUGUAAACUUCUUUUACUUGGGACGAAACCACCUUUUUCUAAGGGUGUUGACGGUACCAAGGGAAUAAGCACCGGCUAACUCCGUGCCAGCAGCCGCGGUAAUACGGAGGGUGCAAGCGUUAUCCGGAUUCACUGGGUUUAAAGGGUGCGUAGGCGGGCAGGUAAGUCCGUGGUGAAAUCUCCGAGCUUAACUCGGAAACUGCCGUGGAUACUAUCUGUCUUGAAUACUGUGAAGGUGAGCGGAAUAUGUCAUGUAGCGGUGAAAUGCUUAGAUAUGACAUAGAACACCAAUUGCGAAGGCAGCUCACUGCGCAGUUUAUUGACGCUGAGGCACGAAAGCGUGGGGAUCAAACAGGAUUAGAUACCCUGGUAGUCCACGCCCUAAACGAUGGAUACUCGACAUACGUGAUAUGACUAUGUGUGUCUGGGCGAAAGCAUUAAGUAUCCCACCUGGGAAGUACGACCGCAAGGUUGAAACUCAAAGGAAUUGGCGGGGGCGCACAAGCGGUGGAGCAUGUGGUUUAAUUCGUGAUACGCAGGAACCUUACCUGGGCUAGAAUGCAGUCUGACCGUGGGUGAAAGCUCAUUUUGUCGCAAGACACAGAUUGUAAGGUGCUGCAUGGCUGUCGUCAGCUCGUGCCUGAGGUGUUGGGUUAAGUCCCGCAACGAGCGCAACCCCCAUCAGUAGUUGCCAUCAGGUAACGCUGGGAACUCUACUGAAACGCCGUCGUAAGACGUGAGGAAGGAGGGGAUGAUGUCAAGUCAUCAUGGCCUUUAUGCCCAGGGCUACACACGUGCUACAAUGGGGCGUACAAAGGGCUGCCACUUAGCGAUAAGGAGCCAAUCCCAAAAAACGCCUCUCAGUUCAUAUCGCAGUCUGCAACUCGAUUGCGUGAAGCUGGAAUCGCUAGUAAUCGUAUAUCAGCAAUGAUACGGUGAAUACGUUCCCGGGC
Molecule: ribosomal RNA, 1036 nt
Filed under: uncultured bacterium
Lineage: Bacteria
Description: bacterial SSU rRNA
Rfam family: Bacterial small subunit ribosomal RNA
Source: RNAcentral